GGGCGCCAAAUUGGCCAAAGGCUGGAAGGAAUUGUAUGGUGUUUUUAACAAGAUUCAAAGUAAUGCACUGUAUCUCAGAAACACACAUAUUUUCACACCCCACAGUUAUCAUGUUUUUGCUGUUGUAGCAUUUUUCCAUAAUAGAUUUGUUCAGACUUUCUUUUGAAUGUUUACAAUAGUUUUUUUCUGGGAAUUCAUACCCGUUUUAAGAUAUUAUUCUAAAUUUUUCCCAAUUUAAUCUUAAAAAAUAAUAAAUAAAAAUAGGAAGCUUUGUGUACAUUUUCAAAAAAUCACAAUUUCUGUAGAAGUUUUAUUAAAUCCAUCAGCAUUCUCACUAUGUCUCAAGUUAUCUUCCAAAUAUAUUUUCAACCAAAUCAGCCAUUUCAAAAAAUCUUGAGCAUUGCAUUUUAAAACUUGAUCUCAACAAUAAAUAUGGUUCCUGUGAAAAUCUAGCUGUAUGGCUACAAGUUGUUUGUCUUAGUUAUGUUUUUUAAAUAAUUUAUUGGCUAUUCUAAGCGUUCUUUCCAUAGUCCGCGCCGCCCCGAACCCCGAAUCAACAUAAGUUGAUGAAAGUUAAGGUUGAUAAGAUAGAUUUUGUUAUUAGAGCAACUAAUUCGAAAAACAGCCCCUACCAAUCUCAAUUGCUUUUGCAAUUAACUACUACCUGUGGUACGCACAGAACUGAAUGAACUUUUCACGGAAAUAUAAGAAUGGAUCAUGUGAGGCUUCUUAGAGGACUCCAGGAUAGUUAUAAACUUUAGGAAGUAUGCUGUUAAAAAAGCUAUUGAAGUUGUGUUGAAAAGUUGGAAGAAAUAAACAGAUGAAUGUCUAAAUAUCUCAAAAAAUAUAACGUUUAAAAUACAACAAACUAAAUACAAUG
Aedes albopictus (Asian tiger mosquito) is the source of this 880-nucleotide long non-coding RNA. RefSeq lists it as uncharacterized. Lineage: Eukaryota; Metazoa; Arthropoda; Insecta; Diptera; Culicidae. The record is from RefSeq and is a predicted model, not a curated record. The transcript is spliced from 2 exons.